ACACAUGCAAGUCGAACGGAAUUUACAUGAAGCCUAGCGAUUGUAAAUUUAGUGGCGGACGGGUGAGUAACGCGUGGGUAACCUGCCUUGUACUGGGGGACAACAGUUGGAAACGACUGCUAAUACCGCAUAAGCGCACAGCUUCGCAUGAAGCAGUGUGAAAAACUCCGGUGGUACAAGAUGGACCCGCGUCUGAUUAGCUGGUUGGUGAGGUAACGGCCCACCAAGGCGACGAUCAGUAGCCGGCCUGAGAGGGUGAACGGCCACAUUGGGACUGAGACACGGCCCAAACUCCUACGGGAGGCAGCAGUGGGGAAUAUUGCACAAUGGGGGAAACCCUGAUGCAGCAACGCCGCGUGAGUGAAGAAGUAUUUCGGUAUGUAAAGCUCUAUCAGCAGGAAAGAAAAUGACGGUACCUGACUAAGAAGCCCCGGCUAACUACGUGCCAGCAGCCGCGGUAAUACGUAGGGGGCAAGCGUUAUCCGGAUUUACUGGGUGUAAAGGGAGCGUAGACGGUUUUGCAAGUCUGAAGUGAAAGCCCGGGGCUUAACCCCGGGACUGCUUUGGAAACUGUAGGACUAGAGUGCAGGAGAGGUAAGUGGAAUUCCUAGUGUAGCGGUGAAAUGCGUAGAUAUUAGGAGGAACACCAGUGGCGAAGGCGGCUUACUGGACUGUAACUGACGUUGAGGCUCGAAAGCGUGGGGAGCAAACAGGAUUAGAUACCCUGGUAGUCCACGCCGUAAACGAUGAUUACUAGGUGUUGGUGGGUACGACCCAUCGGUGCCGCAGCAAACGCAAUAAGUAAUCCACCUGGGGAGUACGUUCGCAAGAAUGAAACUCAA
RNAcentral lists this ribosomal RNA (842 nucleotides) under uncultured bacterium. RNAcentral's name for it is "bacterial SSU rRNA". It matches the Rfam family "Bacterial small subunit ribosomal RNA", at positions 51 to 904 of the family's 1533-position model. The record is from RNAcentral.